GACGAACGCUGGCGGCGUGCCUAAUACAUGCAAGUAGAACGGUGAAGGAGGGGCUUGCUUCUCUGGAUGAGUUGCGAACGGGUGAGUAACGCGUGGGUAACCUGCCUGGUAGCGGGGGAUAACUAUUGGAAACGAUAGCUAAUACCGCAUAAGAGUAGAUGUUGCAUGACAUUUGUUUGAAAGGUGCGAUUGCUUGACUACCAGAUGGACCUGGGUUGUAUUGGCUAGUUGGGGGGGUAACGGCUCACCAAGGCAACGAUUCAUAGCCGACCGGGGAGGGGGGUAGCCGACCUUGGACGGUGACACGGCCCAGACGCCCACGGGAGGCAGCCGUAGGGAAGCGUGAGGAAGGGGCGGGAGACUGACCGAGAUACGCGGCGUCAUGGAAGAAGGUCUUCGGGUCGGAGAGCACGGUUGUAAGAGAAGAAAGAGUGUGAGAGUGGAAAGUUCACACUGUGACGGUAACUUACCAGAAAGGGACGGCUAACUACGUG
RNAcentral lists this ribosomal RNA (494 nucleotides) under uncultured bacterium. Its description in RNAcentral is "partial 16S ribosomal RNA". It matches the Rfam family "Bacterial small subunit ribosomal RNA", at positions 28 to 507 of the family's 1533-position model. The record is from RNAcentral.